GCCCGCGUGGCACAAUGGCUAGCGCGUGGUAGGGACUGCCCAUCUCAAGGUUCUGGGUUCGACCCCCAGCGUGGGCG
This 77-nucleotide transfer RNA is filed under the name Exophiala oligosperma. RNAcentral's name for it is "tRNA-Gly (GCC) (tRNA-Gly-GCC-2-1)". Lineage: Eukaryota; Fungi; Ascomycota; Eurotiomycetes; Chaetothyriales; Herpotrichiellaceae. The record is from RNAcentral.